Molecule: ribosomal RNA, 304 nt
Filed under: Marmorana cf. muralis VF-2008
Lineage: Eukaryota; Metazoa; Mollusca; Gastropoda; Stylommatophora; Helicidae
Description: partial 16S ribosomal RNA
Source: RNAcentral
AGAAGCUNUCUAUAAAAUAUUUUUAUGAACUUGGUUAGUAAGUGAAAAAACUUACAGAAUUCAAAUAGACGAGAAGACCCUAGAAAUUUUAAUACGUACAGCAUUUUUGUUGGGGCGACAGAGUUACAUAGAACUAACUUUAAAGAACAUGAAACAGAGGCGAUAGAUAAAAUUACUCUAGGGAUAACAGCAUAAUUUUAUUAGUUUAUGACCUCGAUGUUGGACUAGGGACGGUAUACUUUAGAAGAGUGUACUGUAUGCUCUGUUCGAGCAGCAAUACCUACAUGAUCUGAGUUCAAAUCGA